This 443-nucleotide ribosomal RNA is filed under the name Streptococcus mitis. RNAcentral describes it as "bacterial SSU rRNA". It matches the Rfam family "Bacterial small subunit ribosomal RNA", at positions 28 to 461 of the family's 1533-position model. The record is from RNAcentral. Lineage: Bacteria; Bacillati; Bacillota; Bacilli; Lactobacillales; Streptococcaceae.
GACGAACGCUGGCGGCGUGCCUAAUACAUGCAAGUAGAACGCUGAAGGAGGAGCUUGCUUCUCCGGAUGAGUUGCGAACGGGUGAGUAACGCGUAGGUAACCUGCCUGGUAGCGGGGGAUAACUAUUGGAAACGAUAGCUAAUACCGCAUAAGAGUAGAUGUUGCAUGACAUUUACUUAAAAGGUGCAAUUGCAUCACUACCAGAUGGACCUGCGUUGUAUUAGCUAGUUGGUGAGGUAACGGCUCACCAAGGCGACGAUACAUAGCCGACCUGAGAGGGUGAUCGGCCACACUGGGACUGAGACACGGCCCAGACUCCUACGGGAGGCAGCAGUAGGGAAUCUUCGGCAAUGGACGGAAGUCUGACCGAGCAACGCCGCGUGAGUGAAGAAAGGUUUUCGGAUCGUAAAAGCUCUGUUAUAAAGAGAAAGAAACGAAGUGUG